This 253-nucleotide ribosomal RNA is filed under the name uncultured bacterium. RNAcentral describes it as "partial 16S ribosomal RNA". It matches the Rfam family "Bacterial small subunit ribosomal RNA", at positions 524 to 776 of the family's 1533-position model. The record is from RNAcentral.
UACGAAGGGGGCUAGCGUUGUUCGGAUUUACUGGGCGUAAAGCGCACGUAGGCGGAUUGUUAAGUGAGAGGUGAAAUCCCGGAGCUCAACUCCGGAACUGCCUUUCAUACUGGCAAUCUAGAGUCCGGAAGAGGUGAGUGGAACUCCUAGUGUAGAGGUGAAAUUCGUAGAUAUUCGCAAGAACACCAGUGGCGAAGGCGGCUCACUGGCCCGGUACUGACGCUGAGGUGCGAAAGCGUGGGGAGCAAACAGG